RNAcentral lists this ribosomal RNA (495 nucleotides) under uncultured bacterium. RNAcentral's name for it is "partial 16S ribosomal RNA". It matches the Rfam family "Bacterial small subunit ribosomal RNA", at positions 28 to 507 of the family's 1533-position model. The record is from RNAcentral.
GACGAACGCUGGCGGCGUGCCUAAUACAUGCAAGUCGAACGCUGAAGGAGGAGCUUGCUCUUCUGGAUGAGUUGCGAACGGGUGAGUAACGCGUAGGUAACCUGCCUGGUAGCGGGGGAUAACUAUUGGAAACGGUAGCUAAUACCGCAUAAGAGUAGAUGUUGCAUGGCAUUUACUUGAAAGGUUCGAUUGCAUCGCUACCAGAUGGACCUGCGGUGUAUUAGCUUGGUGGUGUGGUAACGGCUUACCAAGGCGGGGAUGCAUAGCCGACCGGAGAGGGGGAGCGGCCACCCUGGGAGGGGGACCGGGCACAGUGGGCUUGGGGAGGGAGCCAGACGGAAACGGGGGGAAUGGGUGGAAGUCUGAGCGAGCAACGCCGAGGGCGGGAGGAGCGACGUCGGGUCGUAGAGCUCGGUUGUCAGGUUAGAACGAGUGUGCGAGUGGAAAGUUCACUGUGUGACGGUAACGGGUCAGGAAGCACCGGCUAACUACGUG